GUAGUAGUAGUCGUAGUAGUAUUAGUAGUAGUAGUAGUAAUAGUAGUCGUAGUAGUAGUAGUAGUAGAAGAAGUAGUAAAAGUAGUAGCAGUAGGGACGGUACAGGGUGAAGUGUAGCAGUAGAGAAGGAAGGGAACAGGGUGUAGUGCUGGUAUGUCCCGGUGCUGUCAGUGCUGGUAUGUCCUGGUGCUGUCAGUGCUGUCAGUGGGACCCGACUCAUUGUCUGCCCUGUGGAGGUAGAUCGACUCUGAUCGAGAGAACCGGAUUAUUCUUUUCUUGUUGCACACUUUUUUCUUCACAAAAAAAAGGAAAUGUGUAAAUGUAGCAUAGAUCUAGCAGCCCUGCACUCGAGAAAAAUUGUAAUAUUAAAUAAUGCGCCAUGAGGAGGGAAAUUGGAAAAUGGUAACAUUCUCUUCUGUCCAAAGUCUGACUACAGUCUAGCUUUCAGGUCUGUCUCAGGUGUAGAAGGAAACAAAUCACAGUGAUCAUAUGUCCUUAUGCAGUUACGAGUGCUGUAAAAGCUCUACUGAAAAGGGGAAAAAAAGUGAUCAGUUGAAAACACUUUCCUUUUUUUUUUUUUAAAGUCUAUUUUAGCAAUAGCCUACCACAAAGUCUCCGGGCCAAAAGAGUAGGUAGACAUAGACCACAGCUACCUGUAGACUAAAAUGAUGAACUUUGAUCAAGUCUCUGACACCGCGAUCAGCCUACAGGUGACUAGUUUGUCAUCCAGUCUCUGACACCGCGAUCAGCCUGCAGGUGACCAGUUUGUCAUCCAGUCUCUGACACCGCGAUCAGCCUACAGGUGACCAGUUUGUCAUCCAGUCUCUGACACCACGAUCAGCCUACAGGUGACCAGUUUGACAGUUUUCCCGAGAAAGCUUUGGAAGAAGUUGAAGAACAUUUUGUUUGGUAGAGACACGACUUCCUGAAUGUCUACCGCGUUGUUAAUCGUAACUUUGAUUGUGCCGUAUGUGUCCACUGUGGUGGUCACGUCGUCGUGUCCACUUCUGCCUGUGUUGCCAGAUUGUCUUGUUUUCAUCUCUGCUCUGUGCCGCUCCUCUUCACGACUCAUAAAGCUUUUGUAACAUUUUUUUAAUUUUUUUUUUUUUUUGGACUGACAGGGAAGCAAGUGGUUUCACAAAUUUACAUAUAUGCAAAUUGUCAUAAACUCUGCUUUUGUUCUGUCCCUUCUCGGUUUGUAAUGUUGUUUUUUUACCGAAUGAUUUGUUUGUUUGUUUGUUUGUUUGGUGUACAGCUUUGUAUAUCUUCUCCAGCUAGUGGGGACAUUGCAUGUGUACAAUCGUACAGGUUUUGAAACCACAAAAAUAUUAAAAAAUGUGUGGAAAAAAAUGCUUGAAAACCAACCAGUCAAUAAAAUGCAAGUAAAACAAAAAGUGUUUGUUGUUUGUCUACAAUUCUCCAUCUUCUGUUGGUGUGUACAGCUUCUGUUGGUGUGUACAGCUACUCACUACGCACCUCUAGUAACACAUCUACUCUAAUCUUCGGCUCUUAUAUUAUAACCUUAUUGUGUUGCCAAGGAUGAUUCCCGACUGGAAGGGGGGGGGUUGGAUUAUUAUUUGUUGAAAUCUGUAGAUGUAGGUCGUUCUGCUGGGAUGUUGUAACCUCCCUAGUAGGUCGUUCUGCUGGGAUGUUGUAACCUCCCUAGUAGGUCGUUCUGCUGGGAUGUUGUAACCUCCCUAGUAGGUCGUUCUUUACUAUGCACCAUGUGCGUCCUGGGUCCUGUUGGGUCGUUUUUGACCCGUAGGCUAUAGAAAUAUACAUGUAUAGUUAAAUAUGCUGUCAGUCGUUUCUGACCCAUAUAUAAAUAUAGAAAAAUGUGUCGAGGGUCGUUUAUGACCCAUUUGCACUGUAUAAAAAUAGAAAAAUUUGCCGUGGAUCGUUUAUGACCCAUGCAUAAAUAUAUAGGAACAUAAUAUGUAGUGGGUCGUUUAUAACCCAUAUUUUGGGAAAUAUGGCAUGGGUUAUUUCAGACCAAUAUGAAAU
RNAcentral lists this long non-coding RNA (2004 nucleotides) under Aplysia californica (California sea hare). RNAcentral describes it as "uncharacterized LOC118478072, transcript variant X1". Lineage: Eukaryota; Metazoa; Mollusca; Gastropoda; Aplysiida; Aplysiidae. The record is from RNAcentral.